GUUGUGGUCCGAAAUCUUGCUGACAGUAAAGGGGCCGAUCGCGAAUUUUUUCUGAUCGACGGCCUCCCGGAAAUAUUCGCGCCCUGCAAGAUUCGGCGAGGCGAGACUUGGCUCGCUGAAGCAGCGGAUAUNGUCCAGACCGACGACCAGAAGGGAGGUCAGCGGUUCGACAUGUGGACGGACCCGCACGACAUAAUCGGUGCAUGCGGUGCUGUUGAGCCGGCUGACCUCGUCGGUUUCGGCGACCGCCUG
Molecule: unclassified non-coding RNA, 252 nt
Filed under: Hevea brasiliensis (rubber tree)
Lineage: Eukaryota; Viridiplantae; Streptophyta; Magnoliopsida; Malpighiales; Euphorbiaceae
Source: RNAcentral